UGGCUCUCGCAUCGAUGAAGAACGCAGCGAAAUGCGAUAAGUAAUGUGAAUUGCAGAAUUCAGUGAAUCAUCGAAUCUUUGAACGCAAAUUGCGCUCUUUGGUAUUCCGAAGAGCAUGCCUGUUUGAGUGUCAUAAAACUCUCACCCUCAAGGUUUUCUAACUUCGAGUGGUGCUUUGGACGUCUGCCGUCUGGCUCGUCUUAAAUGCAUUAGUGGAACAGCGUGAUAAGUCUUCGCUACCCUCCACUCUAAUCACUCUUUUGUUUUGACCUCAAAUCAGGUAGGACUACCCGCUGA
This 297-nucleotide unclassified non-coding RNA is filed under the name uncultured fungus. RNAcentral describes it as "partial contains 5.8S ribosomal RNA and internal transcribed spacer 2". The stretch from base 1 to 133 matches the Rfam family "5.8S ribosomal RNA", at positions 22 to 154 of the family's 154-position model. The record is from RNAcentral. Lineage: Eukaryota; Fungi.